RNAcentral lists this non-coding RNA (341 nucleotides) under Oreochromis niloticus (Nile tilapia). RNAcentral's name for it is "Eukaryotic small subunit ribosomal RNA". It matches the Rfam family "Eukaryotic small subunit ribosomal RNA", at positions 1229 to 1475 of the family's 1831-position model. The record is from Rfam by way of RNAcentral. Lineage: Eukaryota; Metazoa; Chordata; Actinopteri; Cichliformes; Cichlidae.
CUUGAGAAGGGUUUUGACAGAUUGAUAGCUCUUUCUCGAUUCUGUGGGUGGUGGUGCAUGGCCGUUCUUAGUUGGUGGAACGAUUUGUCUGUUUAAUUCCGAUAACAAAUGAGACUUCGACAUGCUAACUAGUUACUCGACCCCGUGCGUUCUGAGUCCAACUUCUUAGAGUCAGGGCUCUAGAGUGCGACCAAUUUGGUCGCAUUUUUCAGUGGUGCGACUAAAAAAAAAUAUUUGGUCGCACCGGUGCGACCAAAUAUUUUCGGGUAACAAAAAAAAUAAAUAAAAAAAAUCUCGGCAACUCUCAGUGUGGUCAACAACAGACACAUAUUAUGCCCCUA